GAUUGAACUGAAGAGUUUGAUCCUGGCUCAGAUUGAACGCUGGCGGCAUGCUUUACACAUGCAAGUCGAACG
Molecule: ribosomal RNA, 72 nt
Filed under: Burkholderiales bacterium
Lineage: Bacteria; Pseudomonadati; Pseudomonadota; Betaproteobacteria; Burkholderiales
Description: partial 16S ribosomal RNA
Rfam family: Bacterial small subunit ribosomal RNA
Source: RNAcentral